UGGAUAUUAAGUUAAUAAAAACUGUAUGAUUCAUGUUCAUGUAUUGUGCGGUAAUGCACAUAUCCUU
This 67-nucleotide transfer RNA is filed under the name Schistosoma japonicum. Its description in RNAcentral is "tRNA-Met". The record is from RNAcentral. Lineage: Eukaryota; Metazoa; Platyhelminthes; Trematoda; Strigeidida; Schistosomatidae.